This is a long non-coding RNA of Brassica oleracea var. oleracea, 928 nucleotides long. RefSeq lists it as uncharacterized. The transcript is spliced from 2 exons. The record is from RefSeq and is a predicted model, not a curated record. NCBI's taxonomy places the organism in Eukaryota, Viridiplantae, Streptophyta, Magnoliopsida, Brassicales, Brassicaceae.
CUUGGCGUUGAUCAUUAUCAACAUAAUAAUAGCACAAAGCUCUCUCGAGAACAUGACACAUCAGACUUUUAAAUCAUUGUGGAGUUGUCAUGUCAAUAAAUGAAAAAAAUUGUACUACACAUCAGCUUAGUUGAUCUCAAGAAAUUAUCUAUUUCCCUUCUCAAAGUCGUAGAGACUCUUCUUCUCUGUUUCACAUUAGUUAUCUCAAAAAAUUGACUGACACUCUUCAUCUCUUCUUCACAUUAAUUUGUGAUUUAUAUGGCAACGCUUUAGCUUUUAGGUAUUUUGAACGAAGCCGUGAAUAUGAUAAGGUAAAUUCUUCAUAACCAUGUUUUCUAAAUCUUUGUUUGUUGCUUUAUUUUUUAAUGGUCGUGUUAUCUAUUUAAAUAGAAAAUGAAUACAGUGUUUUAGGUUUUGCAAAUAAGAACAUAACAAGAAAUAAACAACACUAAAAAGUUUUUCAUCAAACAAUUAGUACAUCGAAUGGAAAGUAGGUGAAAAGUAGGCUCUAUCCAUUCAAUUGCUUCUGCAGGACCAGGGCUGAAGCAGGUUCGAAGCUAAGCCAGAUGGAAUCGUAAAAUUUGGAAUUCGAAGUCGAUGAGGCUUGUUUGUCUAAACUUCUCUGAAGUAUAUGACAAAUGAAACAGAGAGUCGGAGACAAUGAUAUCAUCACACCAACAGUAGUUUUUGUAUAGGUUGAUACAUGGAAUCAGAAGGAUCCAUAGAGUACUAGAGUUGCUUCCUUGGAUAAACAUUUGGGUUUAUAUAAUUGGAUGGUAAUAUUGUGUUGGCCAUGGAUAAGUGCUUCUAGAGUAUUAAAGGAGAAAACUGCAAACAAAUAUUAACUAAAAAAUUAUGUUCUUCUAGGAUUUACAAAGAAAUUUCAUGUAUUAAGUUUCGUGAUUUUUAAGGAACAAUGGGUUGGGAA